GACAGAGGUGGCGAGCGUUGUUCGGAAUUACUGGGCUUAAAGGGCGCGUAGGUGUCCCGGCAAGUCAAAUGUGGAAGCUUCCCGCUUAACGGGGAAAAUGCAUUUGAAACUGUUGGGAUUGAGUCAGCGAGGGGAUGGCGGAAUUCCAGGUGUAGCGGUGAAAUGCGUAGAUAUCUGGAGGAAGGCCGGUGGCGAAGGCGGCCAUCUGGCGCUGAACUGACACUGAGGCGCGAAAGCGUGGGGAGCAAACAGG
RNAcentral lists this ribosomal RNA (253 nucleotides) under uncultured bacterium. RNAcentral describes it as "partial 16S ribosomal RNA". It matches the Rfam family "Bacterial small subunit ribosomal RNA", at positions 524 to 776 of the family's 1533-position model. The record is from RNAcentral.